GACGUAGGAGGCAAGCGUUAUCCGGAGUUACUGGGCGUAAAGAGUGCGUAGGCGGAUGGGUAAGUAGUUCGUGAAAUUGCUCGGCUAAACCGGGCGACGGCGAGCUAGACUGCUGAUCUAGAGGCAGGUAGAGGGGUGCGGAAUUCCGGGUGUAGCGGUGAAAUGUGUAGAUAUCCGGAGGAACACCAGAGGUGCAGACGGCGCCCUGGGCCUGACCUGACGCUGAGGCACGAAAGCUUGGGGAGCGAACGGG
This 253-nucleotide ribosomal RNA is filed under the name uncultured bacterium. RNAcentral's name for it is "partial 16S ribosomal RNA". It matches the Rfam family "Bacterial small subunit ribosomal RNA", at positions 524 to 776 of the family's 1533-position model. The record is from RNAcentral.